GAUACUAUGUCCACAACUCCGUCCCUUUUCCGUCGUCAUCUCCGUACCCGUGAAGUCUUUUCCCACAACUGACAAGACUAACUCCGGUCAACUUCCGAAGGUGCACGGUGGAGGAAGCGGAGGAUGCGGCGCAGCUCUUUCCGCCUGUGCACGCCAUCCUCGGUUCCCCCUUGUCCCUUUCCGCCUGUGCUCUAAGCACUUGGGUCUCUUCUCUUACAUACGCUCGAACAGGUGGAGCCGCCACAGUCGGCGGUCACGGUGGCACAGGGCGGAGGCGGACCGGACCAGCGUUGUUUUCAUACUGACGUCCACACCAAGUAAGUCAAAACUUCAAACUAAAUGAACACGUACACACACACA
Molecule: ribosomal RNA, 360 nt
Filed under: Triticum aestivum (bread wheat)
Lineage: Eukaryota; Viridiplantae; Streptophyta; Magnoliopsida; Poales; Poaceae
Description: partial small subunit ribosomal RNA
Source: RNAcentral